GUGGGGAAUAUUGGGCAAUGGGGGAAACCCUGACCCAGCAACGCCGCGUGAAGGAAGAAGGUUUUCGGAUCGUAAACUUCUAUCCUUGGUGAAGAUAAUGACGGUAGCCAAGAAGGAAGCCCCGGCUAACUACGUGCCAGCAGCCGCGGUAAUACGUAGGGGGCAAGCGUUGUCCGGAAUGAUUGGGCGUAAAGGGCGCGUAGGCGGCCCGGUAAGUCUGAAGUGAAAGUCCUGCUUUUAAGGUGGGAAUUGCUUUGGAUACUGUCGGGCUUGAGUGCAGGAGAGGUAAGCGGAAUUCCCGGUGUAGCGGUGAAAUGCGUAGAGAUCGGGAGGAACACCAGUGGCGAAGGCGGCUUACUGGACUGUAACUGACGCUGAGGCGCGAAAGUGUGGGGAGCAAACAGGAUUAGAAACCCGAGUAGUCC
RNAcentral lists this ribosomal RNA (425 nucleotides) under uncultured bacterium. Its description in RNAcentral is "partial 16S ribosomal RNA". It matches the Rfam family "Bacterial small subunit ribosomal RNA", at positions 354 to 796 of the family's 1533-position model. The record is from RNAcentral.